Molecule: ribosomal RNA, 451 nt
Filed under: uncultured bacterium
Lineage: Bacteria
Description: bacterial SSU rRNA
Rfam family: Bacterial small subunit ribosomal RNA
Source: RNAcentral
ACGACUACGGGAGGCAGCAGUGGGGAAUAUUGCACAAUGGGCGCAAGCCUGAUGCAGCAACGCCGCGUGAGUGAUGAAGGCCUUCGGGUCGUAAAGCUCUGUCCUCAAGGAAGAAUAAAUGACGGUACUUGAGGAGGAAGCCCCGGGCUAACUACGUGCCAGCAGCCGCGGUAAUACGUAGGGGGCAAGCGUUAUCCGGAAUCACUGGGGCGUAAAGGGGUGCGUAGGCGGUUUUCAAGUCAGAAGUGAAAGGCUAUGGCUCAACCAUAGUAAGCUUUUGAAACUGUUAAACUUGAGUGCAGGAGAGGAAAGUGGAAUUCCUAGUGUAGAGGUGAAAUUCGUAGAUAUUAGGAGGAACACCAGUGGCGAAGGCGACUUUCUGGACUGUAACUGACGCUGAGGCACGAAAGCGUGGGGAGCGAACAGGAUUAGAUACCCUGGUAGCACAGAG